Pelobates cultripes (western spadefoot toad) is the source of this 239-nucleotide non-coding RNA. NCBI's taxonomy places the organism in Eukaryota, Metazoa, Chordata, Amphibia, Anura, Pelobatidae. The record is from the annotation of a GenBank genome assembly.
CUUAUCUCGUGAUUGGAGGGGAACUGCUAUAACCACACUGGGGAUUGCUCUACUUUGUUUACUCCCCUGGGCACUAAUCACUUAGCUCUUUUACGAGCUGUUCCUGAUACGCUCUCCUGGUUGAGAGGUCUUUCCCACAUGGUCCUGGAAGUCGGAGUUUCAUACAGGGUGGAAGGAAGACUCCAGUUAAGCUACGGUGGUUGCGGAGUCUGCGGUGGUUGUGGUGUCCGGUGCGGUGC